AGACAGACGUCCGUAUCCGUGCGCUGCUGUUAAAACAGGCAGGGGGAGAACGUGAAGGGCACAGCGGAGGUCGCCGGAUAGAGCGGAGCGCCGUGGAGCCCACUAGGGUAAACACGGAGGUUAGCUGUGCGACGGGGCUCCUCACCCAAACAUCUGAUUUCAUUCUUACGACCGGGAGUUGGACAGAAAUGAGGCCACGCAAAUUUCAUCAUGUGAUUAUAUUCCAGUGAAAAUGGAUAACAAUAGAAGAAAAAACACCAACUCAGAUAUAUUUGAUGAAAAAGAGCAUCAUGCAUCAAAAAGAACAAAACUACAACUGAUGUUUCAUGAUUUCACCUUGUGUGCUUUGCUUUACACCUGCCAAGGAGGACAUGAAGAGAGGGAUCAUCCCAAAGACCUCGCUGUUACAAAGGAAGAGCAUAAAGAUCAGCACCCAGGAUGGGUGCGUCAGUGGUACAGGGGCGCGAGUUUGGGGUUUAUGGAACUCUGAUUUCUCUAAACAGAUGUCCUCAUCAUGGAAGUUAUUGUAGUCUCCACUUAACCAGAUGGGAUACCCAACUCCCUGUCGUGUUCAGAACUGACGGGGCUCAUUAAGUUGGCUUUAAAUUGGGUAUUAAGGGAGGAUCUGUUGCUUAGCCCAAAUAAUCUCAACAUGCACAAUGGAGAGAAGAGGGAGUUCAACAAGCAGAGAUAAAAUAUAAGAUAACUGAUAAGUCAUAUUAACAUACUGGACUUAAUUGUCUCUAAGUAACUACAAAGUAAAUGGGAAAUUAAAAAGAUUAACAGGAAACGUUCCUAAAUGAUGGAGACUAUGACGUCAUGCACACAAUAAAAAUAGAAAGAUACCAUUUCCUUGUUUGGAAUGCCAAAACUAAUACUGAAAAUAUGCUCCAUAACAAAUAUUAAAAGGAAAUUAAACUUGAGGAUGAAGCACUGUAAACCAGACCCCUAAAAGUGGAAAAAUGCCUUGCCAUUUAAUAGUGGUAAAUAGCAGAGACAACCUUUUGAACAGAGAUACAAAAAAUGAAAAUAAAAAGCUGCAGUUGGAAUGUUCUUAUAUAUAAAUGGUAGGCAUUCCUUUAAUUUAUAAAACCCCCAGACCAAGGGAUAAUUACAGACUCUCAAAUAGAUGAUUGCUAUAUAUUAAAUACUGAAUAAGCAAUAUUUAUAUGUACUGAUUCAUAUGAUAAAUAAGUGUAUCCACUGAUAAGUAUGAGCAAUGAAAUACUGACUGGACUGGUGUUGGUAAUGACGAAGAUGGUUUUCUUCUUUGGAAAUAAUAAACACCAUACAGAUACUGUACUUAUUUUAUUAAAUAAGGUCUAUUUUAAUUUAAGGAACACAUUUUACUAUGUAUGUUUCAUAGGAGCACAUGUCCAGAUAGUUAAUAUUUAAUGAAGAAAACAAUGACUGAUUGGAUGCUACCUACAUGACACAUGAUUAUAAGGGCUAAACUAAUUUAUCAGCCUAUCUUUAACUUCUAGAGAGUAAAAAGGAGCAGAUUCAGCAAUACAUAUAAUUGAUAUAAAGUAUCAACUGUUAACAAUGCACACUUU
This is a long non-coding RNA of Heterocephalus glaber (naked mole-rat), 1556 nucleotides long. RefSeq lists it as uncharacterized. Lineage: Eukaryota; Metazoa; Chordata; Mammalia; Rodentia; Bathyergidae. The record is from RefSeq and is a predicted model, not a curated record.